Molecule: long non-coding RNA, 246 nt
Filed under: Elaeis guineensis (African oil palm)
Lineage: Eukaryota; Viridiplantae; Streptophyta; Magnoliopsida; Arecales; Arecaceae
Description: long non-coding RNA (EGUI_LNC072800)
Source: RNAcentral
GUCUUCACGCAUGCCCAAAACUUUCCUCUCUUUCUCUCUUACAUGAAAUUUAGUUGUGGACCAUGUCAAUGUAGGAAUUAGUUUGGAUUUCAAAUUCUAUGAGAUAGAGUUUUAGAAAACCAAAAUUCUUUCCUUAUGGUACUGAUUUUACUCAAUUUUUUUUUAGAUUUUUAUGAUUUUUAUGGCACAUAAUAUGCACCCUUUUUUGGUGGUCCACAGCAGAAAAAGGAGGGGAUGCCCAAGAGU